UACGGGGGGGGCAAGCGUUGUUCGGAAUUACUGGGCGUAAAGGGCUCGUAGGCGGCCAACUAAGUCGGACGUGAAAUCCCCAGGCUCAACCUGGGAACUGCGUCCGAUACUGGAUGGCUUGAAUUCGGGAGAGGGAUGCAGAAUUCCAGGUGUAGCGGUGAAAUGCGUAGAUAUCUGGAGGAACACCGGUGGCGAAGGCGACAUCCUGGACCGGUAUUGACGCUGAGGCGCGAAAGCCAGGGGAGCAAACGGG
Molecule: ribosomal RNA, 253 nt
Filed under: uncultured bacterium
Lineage: Bacteria
Description: partial 16S ribosomal RNA
Rfam family: Bacterial small subunit ribosomal RNA
Source: RNAcentral